This 450-nucleotide ribosomal RNA is filed under the name uncultured bacterium. RNAcentral describes it as "partial 16S ribosomal RNA". It matches the Rfam family "Bacterial small subunit ribosomal RNA", at positions 354 to 796 of the family's 1533-position model. The record is from RNAcentral.
GUGGGGAAUAUUGGACAAUGGGCGAAAGCCUGAUCCAGCCAUGCCGCGUGUGUGAAGAAGGUCUUCGGAUUGUAAAGCACUUUAAGUUGGGAGGAAGGGCAGUAAGUUAAUACCUUGCUGUUUUGACGUUACUGACAGAAUAAGCACCGGCUACCUUCGUGCCAGCAGCCGCGGUAAUACGAAGGGUGCAAGCGUUAAUCGGAAUUACUGGGCGUAAAGCGCGCGUAGGUGGUUGUGUAAGUUGGAGGUGAAAUCCCCGGGCUCAACCUGGGAACUGCGUUCAAAACCGUAUGGCUAGAGUACGGAAGAGGAGAGUGGAAUUUCCUGUGUAGCGGUGAAAUGCGUAGAUAUAGGGAAGAACACCAGUGGCGAAGGCGGCUAUCUGGAAUGAUACUGACACUGAGGUGCGAAAGCGUGGGGAGCAAACAGGAUUAGAUACCCUAGUAGUCC